This 471-nucleotide long non-coding RNA is filed under the name Zostera marina. RNAcentral's name for it is "long non-coding RNA (ZMAR_LNC003710)". Lineage: Eukaryota; Viridiplantae; Streptophyta; Magnoliopsida; Alismatales; Zosteraceae. The record is from RNAcentral.
UCAUAUCCACGUCAAUUCGGAUACGAUGCUUAUCAACUCACCAACAUCAACGUACACGGAAUACUAAAAAAACACAGUUCUCUUUUAAUUCUCAAUUUCUAGCUACCAUUCACCAAUCAAUCGAUCACGUACCAUGGCGGCGGUAGCGGUGGCAAAAGCUAGGAAAUGGAGCGAAACGGCGAUGUUAGUGAUCGACAUGCAGGUAAUUAAUUACUUGGAUUCUAUUUAUAAUCAAUCAUCAUUGAUCCCAAAUUCACAAAUCACAAUAAAUACCUUCGAUCCGCAAAUUCGAAUGAAGAAAGAAUUUAUACUCCCCGGACGUCGACUACACGUCCCUGGAUCUUCAUCAAUCGUUCCCUCCGUAAUCACUGCCGUUUCCACCGCAAGAGACCGAGGCAUCCCGGUGAUUUGGGUAAGAAAUAUUUCGUUCCGUCCAUAGAUUUGCGUAUUUGCCCAUUUGGUAUAUUAUUA